CUUUCUGAAGUUCUUGAGGUUAAGCAUCAGCACAUAAAAUUCUUAAAGCUUAGCUUUCUGCACAUUUUUCCCAUUUUUGGCAGGGGAUGGCGUGAGGGUCUUUAAUUAUCAUCAACACAGAAUAAGCAUACAAGAAUUACGUUCUCCAUUGAUUCACUAUCAAAUAUUCGUGUAUGCAUGCAUGCAAGAACACACAAUGUCACACACAAAUACACACGUCUAGAAAUAUUGAUUGGUAUGUGUGUGACAGAAAAGCAUUAGAGGAUGUUUCAUUGCAAUCACCUGCUUUACCAAUGUAACCGCAGUCGUCCCACUGCAGAAGCAAUCGAUUGUUGGAUGCAACUUUAGUUCCUUAUCCAUUAACUUGAAAGCCUUUAAG
This 379-nucleotide long non-coding RNA is filed under the name Malus domestica (apple). RNAcentral's name for it is "long non-coding RNA (MDOM_LNC009936)". Lineage: Eukaryota; Viridiplantae; Streptophyta; Magnoliopsida; Rosales; Rosaceae. The record is from RNAcentral.